UACGGGGGGGGCAAGCGUUGUUCGGAAUUACUGGGCGUAAAGGGCUCGUAGGCGGCCAACUAAGUCAGACGUGAAAUCCCUCGGCUUAACCGGGGAACUGCGUCUGAUACUGGAUGGCUUGAGUUUGGGAGAGGGAUGCGGAAUUCCAGGUGUAGCGGUGAAAUGCGUGGAUAUCUGGAGGAACACCGGUGGCGAAGGCGGCAUCCUGGACCAACACUGACGCUGAGUGAGCGAAAGCCAGGGGAGCAAACGGG
Molecule: ribosomal RNA, 254 nt
Filed under: uncultured bacterium
Lineage: Bacteria
Description: partial 16S ribosomal RNA
Rfam family: Bacterial small subunit ribosomal RNA
Source: RNAcentral